Molecule: ribosomal RNA, 292 nt
Filed under: uncultured bacterium
Lineage: Bacteria
Description: partial 16S ribosomal RNA
Rfam family: Bacterial small subunit ribosomal RNA
Source: RNAcentral
GUGUCAGCAGCCGCGGUAAUACGGAGGGGGCGAGCGUUGUUCGGAAUCACUGGGUGUAAAGGGUGCGUAGGCGGUCCGAUAAGUCUGAUGUGAAAGCCCUGGGCUCAACUCAGGAACUGCAUUGGAUACUGACGGACUGGAGUACCGGAGAGGGAAGCGGAAUUCCUGGUGUAGCGGUGAAAUGCGUAGAUACCAGGAGGAACACCGGUGGCGAAGGCGGUUUCCUGGCCGAGUACUGACGCUGAGGCACGAAAGCGUGGGGAGCGAACGGGAUUAGAUACCCCAGUAGUCC